RNAcentral lists this ribosomal RNA (429 nucleotides) under Actinomycetes bacterium. RNAcentral describes it as "Actinobacteria bacterium partial 16S ribosomal RNA". It matches the Rfam family "Bacterial small subunit ribosomal RNA", at positions 355 to 776 of the family's 1533-position model. Lineage: Bacteria; Bacillati; Actinomycetota; Actinomycetes. The record is from RNAcentral.
UAGGGAAUCUUCCGCAAUGGGCGAAAGCCUGACGGAGCAACGCCGCGUGAGUGAUGAAGGUCUUCGGAUCGUAAAACUCUGUUAUUAGGGAAGAACAAAUGUGUAAGUAACUAUGCACGUCUUGACGGUACCUAAUCAGAAAGCCACGGCUAACUACGUGCCAGCAGCCGCGGUAAUACGUAGGUGGCAAGCGUUAUCCGGAAUUAUUGGGCGUAAAGCGCGCGUAGGCGGUUUUUUAAGUCUGAUGUGAAAGCCCACGGCUCAACCGUGGAGGGUCAUUGGAAACUGGAAAACUUGAGUGCAGAAGAGGAAAGUGGAAUUCCAUGUGUGGCGGUGAAAUGCGCAGAGAUAUGGAGGAACACCAGUGGCGAAGGCGACUUUCUGGUCUGUAACUGACGCUGAUGUGCGAAGGCGUGGGGAUCAAACAGG